UUUGCCAAAAAUCCUUAAAAGGGUUAGCCUUUGGAUCUCAAACUCCACUUUUUUUCCAAACAAAAUUCUCUCUCUCUCUCUCUUUAUCUUGAUGGUUGAGAUUUUGGGGAUUAUAUGUUGGUUUGAGAGGUUGAAGCUGCCAGCAUGAUCUGAUUUUAAUUUGCUGAAAUUCCCUUUUAGUGAUUUUCAUAAACCAAUAUUGAAUUAAUUACACAAAAUGGGUUUUGGAUCUUGAUGUUGUUUUUUCUGAAAAAAAAAGGGUUUUUUUUUUUGUUUGAAAAAUCAGGUCAUUCUAGCAGCUUCAAUCACUCAUUCACCAACAAUUUUAAAACAAACACAUUUAACAAUGGCUGCAAUUUCUUCAUUUCAGGUUCAAAAAGAAGAAAGAAUGAAAGGGGAAGGCUCUCUCUACUGGGAAGAGUAAGGGAAAAGCGAAGGUGGCCGACAAGGGCAAGUGUUUCCACUGCAAUGUAAAAGGUCACUGGAAGUGGAACUUCCCAAAGUAUCUUGCUGAGAAGAAGAAGGAAAAGGAAGGGAAGUAGUUCCUUCCAGUAGUUUGUUGAGGGAGAUAUGAUGCUCAAGGUUGCAAUUGGAGAUGCCAUUUCAGCUUGUGCAAUGGGAGUUACGAAGUUAUUUUUUGGAAAUAGAUUUCUUUUCUUAGAAAUUCUGUAUAGUGUUCCUAAAAUGAAAAGGAACUUAGUAUCUAUUUCUUGCUUAGU
Benincasa hispida (wax gourd) is the source of this 719-nucleotide long non-coding RNA. RefSeq lists it as uncharacterized. NCBI's taxonomy places the organism in Eukaryota, Viridiplantae, Streptophyta, Magnoliopsida, Cucurbitales, Cucurbitaceae. The record is from RefSeq and is a predicted model, not a curated record.